GGCAGUACGGCCUAGUGGAUAAGGCAGUGGCAUUGAACUCCAGAGACUUAGGUUCUAUUCCUGGCUCUGCCA
RNAcentral lists this transfer RNA (72 nucleotides) under Chelonia mydas (Green sea turtle). It matches the Rfam family "tRNA". From Rfam's summary of the family: Transfer RNA (tRNA) molecules are approximately 80 nucleotides in length. Their secondary structure includes four short double-helical elements and three loops (D, anti-codon, and T loops). Further hydrogen bonds mediate the characteristic L-shaped molecular structure. tRNAs have two regions of fundamental functional importance: the anti-codon, which is responsible for specific mRNA codon recognition, and the 3' end, to which the tRNAs corresponding amino acid is attached (by aminoacyl-tRNA synthetases). tRNAs cope with the degeneracy of the genetic code in two manners: having more than one tRNA (with a specific anti-codon) for a particular amino acid; and 'wobble' base-pairing, i.e. permitting non-standard base-pairing at the 3rd anti-codon position. Lineage: Eukaryota; Metazoa; Chordata; Testudines; Cheloniidae. The record is from Rfam by way of RNAcentral.